Molecule: ribosomal RNA, 253 nt
Filed under: uncultured bacterium
Lineage: Bacteria
Description: partial 16S ribosomal RNA
Rfam family: Bacterial small subunit ribosomal RNA
Source: RNAcentral
UACAGAGGGUGCGAGCGUUAAUCGGAAUUACUGGGCGUAAAGCGUGCGUAGACGGUUAUUUAAGUCGGAUGUGAAAGCCCCGGGCUCAACCUGGGAAUUGCAUUCGAGACUGAAUAGCUAGGGUGCGGGAGAGGGAUGUGGAAUUCCAGGUGUAGCGGUGAAAUGCGUAGAUAUCUGGAGGAACAUCGGUGGCGAAGGCGAAUCUCUGGGCGGCAUCUGACGCUGAGGCACGAAAGCCAGGGGAGCAAACGGG